RNAcentral lists this long non-coding RNA (446 nucleotides) under Mytilus galloprovincialis (Mediterranean mussel). Lineage: Eukaryota; Metazoa; Mollusca; Bivalvia; Mytilida; Mytilidae. The record is from RNAcentral.
UCUGUGUAUUUUGUCUUUAUGUAAGUUGUUUAAUUUUUUUGCUCCGUGCAGAUCGGAUUAGCUCAGCUAUUUUCAACUCAUUUUUACAGUUUAAUAUUCUUUAUUUGUGUUGUAACACCACUGUACCAGGUUAGGGGAUAGUUGCAAACAUGUUCAACCCAGUCAUAUUCUAUACCUGUCUUUCCCAAAUCAGGUGCCUAUUCAUUGGUUGUCGUUGAUUGCUGCAUGUACGUCUUAAUGUGCUUUUGUUUCUUGUUUUGUCAUAAAUCGCGUUUUUUUUAUUUGAAUUGUUUCACAUUUUUCUAUGAUGGUCUUUUUGUAUCUGGUUAUGAUGUAAAAUUCAUUGCUGAUGGCUGCAGAGUUAUCUUUAGUAGCCUAAAGCCGCUUCUUUUGGAUUCUUUCUAUUGAAUAGUUGUCUAAUUAGCAAUCACAGUACAUCGCUUUAU